RNAcentral lists this ribosomal RNA (464 nucleotides) under Vreelandella stevensii. RNAcentral describes it as "partial 16S ribosomal RNA". It matches the Rfam family "Bacterial small subunit ribosomal RNA", at positions 338 to 795 of the family's 1533-position model. The record is from RNAcentral. Lineage: Bacteria; Pseudomonadati; Pseudomonadota; Gammaproteobacteria; Oceanospirillales; Halomonadaceae.
CCUACGGGUGGCUGCAGUGGGGAAUAUUGGACAAUGGGGGGAACCCUGAUCCAGCCAUGCCGCGUGUGUGAAGAAGGCCCUCGGGUUGUAAAGCACUUUCAGUGAGGAAGAACGCCUGGUGGUUAAUACCCAUCAGGAAAGACAUCACUCACAGAAGAAGCACCGGCUAACUCCGUGCCAGCAGCCGCGGUAAUACGGAGGGUGCGAGCGUUAAUCGGAAUUACUGGGCGUAAAGCGCGCGUAGGUGGCUUGAUAAGCCGGUUGUGAAAGCCCCGGGCUCAACCUGGGAACGGCAUCCGGAACUGUCAAGCUAGAGUGCAGGAGAGGAAGGUAGAAUUCCCGGUGUAGCGGUGAAAUGCGUAGAGAUCGGGAGGAAUACAGUGGCGAAGGCGGCCUUCUGGACUGACACUGACACUGAGGUGCGAAAGCGUGGGUAGCAAACAGGAUUAGAUACCCCAGUAGUC